UACGGAGGGGGCAAGCGUUGUUCGGAAUUAUUGGGCGUAAAGGGCUCGUAGGCGGUUUGUCGCGUCGGGAGUGAAAACACUGGGCUUAACCCAGUGCUUGCUUUCGAUACGGGCAGACUAGAGGUAUGCAGGGGAGAACGGAAUUCCUGGUGUAGCGGUGAAAUGCGCAGAUAUCAGGAGGAACACCGGUGGCGAAGGCGGUUCUCUGGGCAUGAUCUGACGCUGAGGCGCGAAAGUGUGGGGAGCGAACAGG
This 253-nucleotide ribosomal RNA is filed under the name uncultured bacterium. RNAcentral describes it as "partial 16S ribosomal RNA". It matches the Rfam family "Bacterial small subunit ribosomal RNA", at positions 524 to 776 of the family's 1533-position model. The record is from RNAcentral.